CCCUUAGACGUUCUGGGCCGCACGCGCGCUACACUGACCAGUGCAACAAGCAUCCGUCCUUGGCCGACAGGCUCGGGCAAUCUUUGAACGCUGGUCGUGAUGGGGAUAGACUUUUGCAAUUAUGGGUCUUCAACGAGGAAUUCCUAGUAAACGCAAGUCAUCAGCUUGCAUUGAUUACGUCCCUGCCCUUUGUACACACCGCCCGUCGCACCUACCGAUUGAAUGGUCCGGUGAAAUCUCGGGACGGCGGCUUGGUCGCUUGCGUCCGACUGCUGAAACUUGAUUAAACCAUAUCAUUUAGAGGAAGGUGAAGUCGUANCA
Molecule: ribosomal RNA, 321 nt
Filed under: uncultured eukaryote
Lineage: Eukaryota
Description: partial 18S ribosomal RNA
Rfam family: Eukaryotic small subunit ribosomal RNA
Source: RNAcentral